This 789-nucleotide ribosomal RNA is filed under the name uncultured bacterium. Its description in RNAcentral is "bacterial SSU rRNA". It matches the Rfam family "Bacterial small subunit ribosomal RNA", at positions 1 to 795 of the family's 1533-position model. The record is from RNAcentral.
GGCGCCGNGGAAUUCGAUUAGAGUUUGAUCCUGGCUCAGGACGAACGCUGGCGGCGUGCUUAACACAUGCAAGUCGAGCGGUAAGGCCCUUCGGGGUACACGAGCGGCGAACGGGUGAGUWACACGUGGGUGAUCUGCCUCGUACUUCGGGAUAAGCCUGGGAAACUGGGUCUAAUACCGGAUAUKACCACAUKCUGCAUGGUGUGUGGUGGAAAGAUUUAUCGGUGCGAGAUGGGCCCGCGGCCUAUCAGCUUGUUGGUGGGGUAAUGGCCUACCAAGGCGACGACGGGUAGCCGACCUKAGAGGGUGACCGGCCACACUGGGGACUGAGACACGGCCCARACUCUACGGGAGGCAGCAGUGGGGAAUAUUGCACAAUGGGCGGAAGCCUGAUGCAGCGACGCCGCGUGAGGGAUGACGGCUUCGGGUUGUAAACUCUUUCGACAGGGACGAAGCGCAAGUGACGGUACCUGUAGAAGAAGCACCGGCCAACUACGUGCCAGCAGCCGCGGUAAUACGUAGGGUGCGAGCGUUGUCCGGAAUUACUGGGCGUAAAGAGCUUGUAGGCGGUUUGUCGCGUCUUCUGUGAAAACUCAACAGCUCAACUGUGAGCUUGCAGGGGAUACGGGCAGACUAGAGUACUUCAGGGGAGACUGGAAUUCCUGGUGUACGCGGUGAAAUGCGCAGAUAUCAGGAGGAACACCGGUGGCGAAGGCGGGUCUCUGGGAAGUAACUGACGCUGAGAAGCGAAAGCGUGGGUAGCGAACAGGAUUAGAUACCCUGGUAGUC